UUGAACGCUGGCGGCAGGCCUAACACAUGCAAGUCGAGCGGAUGAAGGGAGCUUGCUCCUGGAUUCAGCGGCGGACGGGUGAGUAAUGCCUAGGAAUCUGCCUGGUAGUGGGGGAUAACGUCCGGAAACGGGCGCUAAUACCGCAUACGUCCUGAGGGAGAAAGUGGGGGAUCUUCGGACCUCACGCUAUCAGAUGAGCCUAGGUCGGAUUAGCUAGUUGGUGGGGUAAAGGCCUACCAAGGCGACGAUCCGUAACUGGUCUGAGAGGAUGAUCAGUCACCCUGGAACUUGGACACGGUCCAGACUCCUAAGGGAGGCAGCAGUGGGGAAUAUUGGACAAUGGGCGAAAGCCUGAUCCAGCCAUGCCGCGUGUGUGAAGAAGGUCUUCGGAUUGUAAAGCACUUUAAGUUGGGAGGAAGGGCAGUAAGUUAAUACCUUGCUGUUUUGACGUUACCAACAGAAUAAGCACCGGCUAACUUCGUG
This 483-nucleotide ribosomal RNA is filed under the name uncultured bacterium. RNAcentral describes it as "partial 16S ribosomal RNA". It matches the Rfam family "Bacterial small subunit ribosomal RNA", at positions 30 to 507 of the family's 1533-position model. The record is from RNAcentral.